Molecule: ribosomal RNA, 400 nt
Filed under: uncultured bacterium
Lineage: Bacteria
Description: bacterial SSU rRNA
Rfam family: Bacterial small subunit ribosomal RNA
Source: RNAcentral
AGGGAAUCUUCCACAAUGGACGAAAGUCUGAUGGAGCAACGCCGCGUGGAGGAUGAAGGCCUUCGGGUUGUAAACUCUUGUCUUCUGGGACGAUAAUGACGGUACCAGAGGAGGAAGCCACGGCUAACUACGUGCCAGCAGCCGCGGUAAUACGUAGGUGGCAAGCGUUGUCCGGAUUUACUGGGCGUAAAGGAUGCGUAGGCGGAUAUUUAUGUGGGAUGUGAAAUACCCGAGCUCAACUUGGGUGCUGCAUUCCAAACUGGAUAUCUAGAGUGCGGGAGGGGAGAGUGGAAUUCCUAGUGUAGCGGUGAAAUGCGUAGAGAUUAGGAAGAACACCAGUGGCGAAGGCGACUCUCUGGACCGUAACUGACGCUGAGGCAUGAAAGCGUGGGGAGCAAAC